RNAcentral lists this long non-coding RNA (1034 nucleotides) under Zonotrichia albicollis (white-throated sparrow). RNAcentral describes it as "lncRNA (ENSZALG00000006680.1)". The record is from RNAcentral. Lineage: Eukaryota; Metazoa; Chordata; Aves; Passeriformes; Passerellidae.
GUCAGCACCACCAGCUGGGUGCAGGCGAGAGGACCAGCUCUUGCAGGUAGCACAAGCGGGGCUUUCUGCCCCGGCUGAUGCCCUGACCCCCAGCCAGGAGCGCUCUGAGCGGGUUUUGCUCCGUGAUGUGAGCAGCAGCAGCAGGUGGCAUGGGCCGGGCGGGGGAGAGAGCUGCUUGCUUUUGGUUUUCGACCCUCAUCUUCGUUUCACAUGAGUCAUGUUACGUUCUGAGCUGAGUAACUGCUGGGGCUAUUUUUACUCCAGCUCAGCAAAGCUUCCUUCUCGCUGCCGCCACCGCCACUGCCGCUCGCUGUGGACCCGGGGGCAAAGGAUGGGGACACGAGUGCGGGAGACAGCACCAGUGGCUCCACUUUGAGGCUUGUCAAGGCUCAGCGCACGCACACAAACACACACUCACAACCCAGAGCAAAAACAUUUGCUCUCACCUGUCUCCAAACCCAAAGCAAACCUCCCGAUCAAGCCAACUCUUGGAACGAGAAGGCACCCGAGCCAGAAUCUAAUGUAAGGGGAAGAAAUUCAGUGCACACUGGCAACUUUUCUCUAAAAAGCGAGUGGCAAAAAGGAAGGAAAGGAGCAUUUUAAGAAGAGGACAACUUAAGGAAGAAGAUUUCAUUUUUUGGAUUUCACUCCAAACUUUGGAAAAGUUUUUUUUUCCUUUUAGUUACUAUUCUGUGCACCUUCUUCUAAGAACAUUGAGACAUUGUUACCUGCAUGUAAAAGCUUUUACAGGUACAUAUUUUUUUUAAAAGGGAAGAAAACCAAGAGGAAACCAAGAGGGAUGUGGACCACCUAGCCAAAGGCACCACUGAAGCAUCCCUUGCGCCAAGGGGGACCCAGACUCUGGAUGUGCAUAAUUCCGAGGGACUGCAUUUUUUUCCCACCGGGCUUAUGAGAUAGCGCAGAGGCAGGCGAGUCACCGAGAAUUACUUGUCUCCCCUCACCACCAGCACCAGCACCUCCACGUCCUCCUCCAAGGGCUCCCGCGGCUCUCCCACCUCCUCCCGGCUCGCAGG